GAUGAACGCUGGCGGCGUGCCUAAUACAUGCAAGUCGAACGCAUUGUUCUUCACCGAGUGCUUGCACUCACCGAAGACAAUGAGUGGCGAACGGGUGAGUAACACGUGGGUAACCUGCCCAAAAGAGGGGGAUAACACUUGGAAACAGGUGCUAAUACCGCAUAAUUUGUUAAACCGCAUGGUUUGAUAAUGAAAGACGGCGUAAGCUGUCACUUUUGGAUGGACCCGCGGCGUAUUAGCUAGUUGGUGAGGUAAAGGCCCACCAAGGCAAUGAUACGUAGCCGACCUGAGAGGGUGAUCGGCCACAUUGGGACUGAGACACGGCCCAAACUCCUACGGGAGGCAGCAGUAGGGAAUCUUCCACAAUGGACGAAAGUCUGAUGGAGCAACGCCGCGUGAGUGAAGAAGGUUUUCGGAUCGUAAAGCUCUGUUGUUAGAGAAGAAUGUAGGUAAGAGUAACUGUUUACCUAGUGACGGUAUCUAACCAGAAAGCCACGGCUAACUACGUGCCAGCAGCCGCGGUAAU
RNAcentral lists this ribosomal RNA (526 nucleotides) under uncultured bacterium. Its description in RNAcentral is "bacterial SSU rRNA". It matches the Rfam family "Bacterial small subunit ribosomal RNA", at positions 28 to 524 of the family's 1533-position model. The record is from RNAcentral.